CAUUGUAUGUUACAUAAGCAUUUAUCGCAGUUUUGAUGUGGUUUUUCUAAUAAUAAUAAAAUACCCAUUUACGCUGUAAGAGCUUGCAGAAAUCGUACUAAAGAAAUGAAAAAAUUAAAAAUUAAAUUUUUCGGUCCCCAAACGAUCCAGAAAUUGGAAAACAGUGGUGUGCGUCGUUGGGUAUUAAAGAGGUUAAUUUAAAUUAUGGCUCGAUCCUCAUACAGGCGCCUCCGCUUGAACGCAGGAUUUUGGUGGGUGAAGAAUGACAAUUUCUCUCCUACCGCCUGGUAUUCGCCAAUCAAAGUACAGCGUUUGAGCCCUGGCGUCUGUGUGAAGAUCUAGCCUUAAGCUUACGAUUUAUCCAAUCAGCAAAGAUUUACAUUAAAAUUCAUGUCGAUAUAGAGAUUUCAUCAAAUCAUUUUUUUCGUUAUGACGGAUUAUCGAUCCAAAAUUUUAUAUGCAGUGGCAAAAAAUUGUCACGUGUAAUCCUUGAAGAUUAAAACGAUUGAGUUCACUGAUGAUGCUUUUACGAUUUGACUUGACCCUCUAUAGUGACCUUAUGCUAUGGUCAAUCAUUAUUCGGUCAAAUAGCAUUUGCACGCAAGUAAUUACCUGCAUUUGUAAUAAUUGAAUUAAUAGACGCUGUUUGCAAUUUUGAACUUUAAAUUUUCCGCUCGUAAUGACGUAUUGUGAGGUCACGAUUCUAUUGGCUCUCACAAAAUUCGUGCGCAAGAGCUCACCUUAUCUUGUUACACCAUGCUAAAGCAUAUCACGUCUAAUGAUAAGAAUAGUCGAGCCACCUGUCAUGAUUUAUAUGAAACACAGUAUAUCAUGUAACAAUUAAAAAAAGUAUUACUAAUGCAAUACGUAUUAAAGUACAUUCAUAAUGUACUGAA
Molecule: long non-coding RNA, 896 nt
Organism: Cephus cinctus (wheat stem sawfly)
Lineage: Eukaryota; Metazoa; Arthropoda; Insecta; Hymenoptera; Cephidae
Exons: 2
Source: RefSeq, a predicted model, not a curated record